AAAUUAAGCCCUUGGGAAUGCUGUACAAAGAAUACAUUUUUCCAGUGUCGAACCGAGAUCAAUAGAGAAAAACAAAUAAUUCCAAGCAGGAGGCGUGGUCCUGACACCCAGGUCCAGGCAGGGGCUGGGUGCAGGAUUCUGGCCCGAGGAUAUGCCGGGGGGAGGGAGAAGAGAAUGAGGAGCAGAGGAGGAGUGGGGAGUGGGCAUGGGGGGUGCCGGGCUCCCAGGCAUUGGCGCCACAGGGGCAACUUGGGGAGGGGGUGGCUCACCGCUUUGUUCGCAGGGGACCAUCUCCCUGUAGGGGUGAGGCGGGCAGGCCAGGGGGAGGGAAGAGCUCCAGGCACUUCCCCUACUCAGCCUCCCCCUCCUUUGCUCUCUCUCCUGGGGUCUGCCCUGUGCCUGCCACUCUGGCAGACCUGAGCCCGUCCCCUCCAUGAUUCUGGGCUGCCCCGGAGUUCGCUUUGAUCCCCAAACCUUUCCUGAACUCGUGCUCCCUCUUGCAGAUUCCUAAGGGCCUGAGUAACACCACCGAGGUCACUGGAAUGCCAGGCAGCAUCUGGCCUGCGCGUUCCUCCCCCGCGCGAAGCCCUGCAGCAGCUUGGCCUGCCCGACGGUCAAUACCCUUCCUCCCAGCAUCCUGUGCCGCUGUGGCUCCCGGGGAAGCCGCCGUCAGACCAAGACAGAGGGAGGAAAGCCGCUCCCAGGAGAGAAGUCGGGGUGCCUGCCUGCUCCCCAGGGAGAACCAGGAGCCUGCGGAGCUGGCGUUGGCCCUUUGGUUUCUGCAAUCGGAGGUGGUGAGCCUAGAAUUCCCCUCCACCAGGGCCACACACCACGGAGAUGGGACAAAUCCCAGAAGCAGAUUAGACUGGUGUUGCUGUUGGGGCAUGCGGACGAGGCAAGCAAACUGUGACCCACAUGCACUCUCCUUGUUUAUCAAAUAG
RNAcentral lists this long non-coding RNA (941 nucleotides) under Oryctolagus cuniculus (rabbit). RNAcentral describes it as "lncRNA (ENSOCUG00000039378.1)". The record is from RNAcentral. Lineage: Eukaryota; Metazoa; Chordata; Mammalia; Lagomorpha; Leporidae.